RNAcentral lists this non-coding RNA (24 nucleotides) under Arabidopsis thaliana (thale cress). The record is from RNAcentral. Lineage: Eukaryota; Viridiplantae; Streptophyta; Magnoliopsida; Brassicales; Brassicaceae.
GACAAAUCCUCGGACCCGGUCGAC